Molecule: ribosomal RNA, 328 nt
Filed under: uncultured Pelotomaculum sp.
Lineage: Bacteria; Bacillati; Bacillota; Clostridia; Eubacteriales; Desulfotomaculaceae
Description: bacterial SSU rRNA
Rfam family: Bacterial small subunit ribosomal RNA
Source: RNAcentral
UCAGCUCGUGUCGUGAGAUGUUGGGUUAAGUCCCGCAACGAGCGCAACCCCUACGUUUAGUUGCUAACAGGUGAAGCUGAGCACUCUAGACGAACUGCCGUUGACAAAACGGAGGAAGGUGGGGAUGACGUCAAAUCAUCAUGCCCCUUAUGUUCUGGGCUACACACGUGCUACAAUGGCCGGUACAGACGGAGGCGAAGCCGCGAGGCGGAGCAAAUCCGAAAAAGCCGGUCUCAGUUCGGAUUGCAGGCUGCAAUUCGCCUGCAUGAAGUCGGAAUCGCUAGUAAUCGCAGGUCAGCAUACUGCGGUGAAUACGUUCCCGGGCCUU